AACAGAAGAAGAGGAGGAAGAGAAGAAUGAAAGGGAAAGAGAAGAUGGUGAAUGUGCGGAGGCUGUUGUCCAUGGUUUCUACACUAGGUACUGCUGUUGUACCUGCGAUUCAGUUCAAAUACGAAGGAACGAAGAUUUCACUACUCAAGCACGCAAUAAUACCUCUAAAAAGAGAGAAAUAGACAUGGGGAGUGCAAAAGAAGAUUGGACUCUCUGCAACAACCUCAUGAUUAGCCUAUAAAUACAUAGGCGCAUGACUUUGAGGUCUAUCGUGGAAGAGUACUGGAUGAUUUCUUACCACAACAAAACAUUGUUUCCAAAGAUAUAAAAUUCAAAAAUGUGGUAUUACACUUAGUAUAUUAAGGCUCUC
Macadamia integrifolia is the source of this 370-nucleotide long non-coding RNA. RefSeq lists it as uncharacterized. NCBI's taxonomy places the organism in Eukaryota, Viridiplantae, Streptophyta, Magnoliopsida, Proteales, Proteaceae. The transcript is spliced from 3 exons. The record is from RefSeq and is a predicted model, not a curated record.